CUGUGGUGAAAGGGGGCCUCUGUUUACAAGCUCCUGCUUCUGGAUGAGCCCGCGUCCCAUCAGCUAGUUGGUAGGGUAAUGGCCUACCAAGGCUACGACGGGUAGCUGGUCUAAGAGGAUGGCCAGCCACACUGGAACUGAGACACGGUCCAGACUCCUACGGGAGGCAGCAGUGGGGAAUCUUGCGCAAUGGGCGAAAGCCUGACGCAGCGACGCCGCGUGGGUGACGAAGGCCUUCGGGUUGUAAAGCCCUGUGGGGUAGAACGAACUGGCAUCGGGCUAAUAUCCCGGUGUCUUGACGGUACUGCCUUAGCAAGCAUCGGCUAACUCUGUGCCAGCAGCCGCGGUAAGACAGAGGAUGCGAACGUUGCUCGGAUUUACUGGGCGUAAAGCGCGUGUAGGCGGUCUCGUUAGUCGGGUGUGAAAGCCCCGGGCUCAACCCGGGAAGUGCACCCGAUACUGCGAGACUGGGGGUACUGAAGAGGAGAGCGGAAUUCCCGGUGUAGAGGUGAAAUUCGUAGAUAUCGGG
RNAcentral lists this ribosomal RNA (529 nucleotides) under uncultured bacterium. RNAcentral describes it as "bacterial SSU rRNA". It matches the Rfam family "Bacterial small subunit ribosomal RNA", at positions 195 to 701 of the family's 1533-position model. The record is from RNAcentral.